CAGAGGGUGCAAGCGUUAAUCGGAAUUACUGGGCGUAAAGCGCACGUAGGCGGUUUUUUAAGUCAGAUGUGAAAGCCCCGGGCUCAACCUGGGAAUUGCAUUUGAAACUGGAAAACUAGAGUGUGUGAGAGGGGGGUAGAAUUCCAAGUGUAGCGGUGAAAUGCGUAGAGAUUUGGAGGAAUACCAGUGGCGAAGGCGGCCCCCUGGCACAACACUGACGCUCAGGUGCGAAAGCGUGGGGAGCAAACAGGAUU
This 254-nucleotide ribosomal RNA is filed under the name uncultured bacterium. RNAcentral's name for it is "partial 16S ribosomal RNA". It matches the Rfam family "Bacterial small subunit ribosomal RNA", at positions 526 to 779 of the family's 1533-position model. The record is from RNAcentral.